GAAGGUGUGCUGUGAGGCAUGCUGGAGGUAUCAGAAGUGCGAAUGCUGACAUAAGUAACGAUAAAGCGGGUGAAAAGCCCGCUCGCCGGAAGACCAAGGGUUCCUGUCCAACGUUAAUCGGGGCAGGGUGAGUCGACCCCUAAGGCGAGGCCGAAAGGCGUAGUCGAUGGGAAACAGGUUAAUAUUCCUGUACUUGGUGUUACUGCGAAGGGGGGACGGAGAAGGCUAUGUUGGCCGGGCGACGGUUGUCCCGGUUUAAGCGUGUAGGCUGGUUUUCCAGGCAAAUCCGGAAAACUAAGGCUGAGGCGUGAUGACGAGGCACUACGGUGCUGAAGCAACAAAUGCCCUGCUUCCAGGAAAAGCCUCUAAGCAUCAGGUAACAUCAAAUCGUACCCCAAACCGACACAGGUGGUCAGGUAGAGAAUACCAAGGCGCUUGAGAGAACUCGGGUGAAGGAACUAGGCAAAAUGGUGCCGUAACUUCGGGAGAAGGCACGCUGAUAUGUAGGUGAAGCGACUUGCUCGUGGAGCUGAAAUCAGUCGAAGAUACCAGCUGGCUGCAACUGUUUAUUAAAAACACAGCACUGUGCAAACACGAAAGUGGACGUAUACGGUGUGACGCCUGCCCGGUGCCGGAAGGUUAAUUGAUGGGGUCAGCGCAAGCGAAGCUCUUGAUCGAAGCCCCGGUAAACGGCGGCCGUAACUAUAACGGUCCUAAGGUAGCGAAAUUCCUUGUCGGGUAAGUUCCGACCUGCACGAAUGGCGUAAUGAUGGCCAGGCUGUCUCCACCCGAGACUCAGUGAAAUUGAACUCGCUGUGAAGAUGCAGUGUACCCGCGGCAAGACGGAAAGACCCCGUGAACCUUUACUAUAGCUUGACACUGAACAUUGAGCCUUGAUGUGUAGGAUAGGUGGGAGGCUUUGAAGUGUGGACGCCAGUCUGCAUGGAGCCGACCUUGAAAUACCACCCUUUAAUGUUUGAUGUUCUAACGUUGACCCGUGAUCCGGGUUGCGGACAGUGUCUGGUGGGUAGUUUGACUGGGGCGGUCUCCUCCUAAAGAGUAACGGAGGAGCACGAAGGUUGGCUAAUCCUGGUCGGACAUCAGGAGGUUAGUGCAAUGGCAUAAGCCAGCUUGACUGCGAGCGUGACGGCGCGAGCAGGUGCGAAAGCAGGUCAUAGUGAUCCGGUGGUUCUGAAUGGAAGGGCCAUCGCUCAACGGAUAAAAGGUACUCCGGGGAUAACAGGCUGAUACCGCCCAAGAGUUCAUAUCGACGGCGGUGUUUGGCACCUCGAUGUCGGCUCAUCACAUCCUGGGGCUGAAGUAGGUCCCAAGGGUAUGGCUGUUCGCCAUUUAAAGUGGUACGCGAGCUGGGUUUAGAACGUCGUGAGACAGUUCGGUCCCUAUCUGCCGUGGGCGCUGGAGAACUGAGGGGGGCUGCUCCUAGUACGAGAGGACCGGAGUGGACGCAUCACUGGUGUUCGGGUUGUCAUGCCAAUGGCACUGCCCGGUAGCUAAAUGCGGAAGAGAUAAGUGCUGAAAGCAUCUAAGCACGAAACUUGCCCCGAGAUGAGUUCUCCCUGACUCCUUGAGAGUCCUGAAGGAACGUUGAAGACGACGACGUUGAUAGGCCGGGUGUGUAAGCGCAGCGAUGCGUUGAGCUAACCGGUACUAAUGAACCGUGAGGCUUAACCUUACAACGCCGAAG
This 1705-nucleotide ribosomal RNA is filed under the name Escherichia coli. Its description in RNAcentral is "partial 23S ribosomal RNA". It matches the Rfam family "Bacterial large subunit ribosomal RNA", at positions 1252 to 2925 of the family's 2925-position model. The record is from RNAcentral. Lineage: Bacteria; Pseudomonadati; Pseudomonadota; Gammaproteobacteria; Enterobacterales; Enterobacteriaceae.